GCCGCCUCGCCUCCCGCUCACUGUUCACUCCACACUCUCCACGCUCAGCUGGCGGCCUCCAGCUAUUCAUGACGUCGCGAACUUUACGAACACGGAGACACUACAUCCUACGAGUCUACGUAAACAGAUUCAACACGCCAAUACUCGCUACUGUAACCACGCAGCGCCCCCGUGGACACUCAGACACAGCGGCCGGCGUUGGCAGGAAGGUGUAAAUGGAGCUGCGAUUCAGUGCAGGAGCAAGAAUGAGGAUCAAACAGAAGCAGACCUGUUGGCCCCCACGACGCUGCUUGUGGCGUCAUGCGGGAGAGGAAGGGAUGCUGUACUCACCACCAUCGGGGGAACCCAGCUUGGCUCUCUCCCUGGCGGCUGGACUAGGGGAAGCUUGCGGUACCGACCUCCUGUGCGCCACCCGGUCUCGUCUCCGCUGGGGGCUGUCUCGCCGCAGGGCCGCCGCCUCCACGCCGCAGUAACUGACACGCGGCCCGCGGGGUUUGUCUGGCGGGAGGAGAUGGAGGGGGGAUGAAGUCAUCGGCGCUGCCGCCCUCCUUUGUGUGCGUCUCCAGCUCGCGCACCAUCUUCUCCGGCACGUCGAGACACUCCUUCUCGUAGGCGUCCACGAUGGGACUCUCGAGCACGGCGCGGUACCGAUUGUCG
Scylla paramamosain (green mud crab) is the source of this 657-nucleotide long non-coding RNA. RefSeq lists it as uncharacterized. The transcript is spliced from 4 exons. The record is from RefSeq and is a predicted model, not a curated record. Lineage: Eukaryota; Metazoa; Arthropoda; Malacostraca; Decapoda; Portunidae.